RNAcentral lists this unclassified non-coding RNA (536 nucleotides) under Hevea brasiliensis (rubber tree). Lineage: Eukaryota; Viridiplantae; Streptophyta; Magnoliopsida; Malpighiales; Euphorbiaceae. The record is from RNAcentral.
GAGAAUGGGAGAAAUUGAUGAAAAGCCAUUCCUUAAUACACUCAAGCAAAGAUUUCCACCUGAGGAAGCUCAGCUUCAGGCCAGUACUCAAUGCAGCUUGUGGCAGGAGGAUUUUAANNNNNNNNNNGAGUGGCAUCCAUUCAAAAUCAUCUAUUAUGCUGAAGGGAAUUCUGAGAUCCAGGAAAUAGUAGAUGAAGAAGAUGAGAGGCUACAAAAUCUCAAGCUGGAGUUGGGGGACGACAUAUACAUGGCAGUUGUUACUGCUUUGAAGGAGUUAAAUGAGUAUAAUCCAAGCGGGAGAUAUGUGAUUCCUGAGCUCUGGAAUUUCAAAGAAGAAAGGAAAGCCACGUUGAAGGAGGUGAUUGCUUAUAUUGUGAAGAAUAUCAAGACCCUUAAGCGCAAGAGAUGAAGAGAAGUUGACUGCUAAGGGGUGCCUCUGGAAGAAAUGGAAGGUCUUUUGCGGCAAAGAGGUUUCUUAAGAGUUAGAUUUUUUUUGGCUAGUCGCUCCAUCAAGAUUAUGCAUGCCAAAGAAUAAA